Molecule: long non-coding RNA, 1498 nt
Organism: Homarus americanus (American lobster)
Lineage: Eukaryota; Metazoa; Arthropoda; Malacostraca; Decapoda; Nephropidae
Exons: 2
Source: RefSeq, a predicted model, not a curated record
UAUCCCGGUAGACAACUCCAGCUCGGUAUAUCGCAUACUAAAGUAGUACCUGCACGGUAGACCACAUCGAGCUCGGUAAACCGCAUACUAUAGAAGCACGGUUUAUAGUUUAUGGUUUCACGAUCAAUAUUUUACAGCAAUAUGCCCAGCAACCCCAUUGCUCAAUAUUGCCAGCCAUACAUAAGCCACAUCGAGCAAGUAUUGGUCAAUAUUGUCAGCCAUAUUUCAGAAUGGAAACGCGUGUUGACGUGUAUUGACAUGUGGGCAAGAUGGAAAAUACGACAAUAUUGCCGGGUUAAGAGCUUUUGUGGAGUGGACGUCAGUGCAAAUCUGUGUCAGACUGUGUCGAGUUUGUGUUCUCACGCUAUGGCUAGUAUAGUUACCCUUACGCCGUUGAAUAAUGAAAACUAUAGACUUUAUCAACAGUAUUCAUUGCCAUCCUGAAAUGUGGGAUUUUAGUCAUCCCAAAUAUCCUGACCGUAAAAUAAAGAGAGACAUUUGGAAUAAGAUUGCAAAUGAAUAUGGCAUCACUUUGAAGACAGCACAAAGCAAGCUAAAAAGUCUGAGAACAUAAGCAAAGUGCGAGGCGAAGAAGCUACAAGCAAAAAAGAAAAGUGGAGGAGAGGCAACACCAUUGGAAAGCACAUGAAUGAUACGUUCACAUCUCAAGGAUCAUGCAACCAACCACCCUCAAGGAAGAAGCCCAAGACUUAUGAGUGAGAGGAACUAGUAUCACUGGCAUGUAAGUGUCUCUGUGAAACUGAUAAUGAGUACAUAAAAUUAACAACAGUUUGGGCAAUUGAGCUGCAGAAGAUGAGGCCGACACAACUCUUUGCCAAGAAGGUUAUAAAUAAUAUAUUAUUUGAAGGUCAAAUGGGAACAUUACAUCGACACACAGUUGUUAUAAAUGCACCAAUGAGUAGAGCAAGUACCCCAAUUAGCAAUCCACCUUCAGCCACUAGUGACUAUAUCAUAGAUUUAGACCCAGCAAAUGUGGUUGCUAAUAAUGUUACAUAGCUAUAAUGCUGAAGAGCAAAAAGCACUUGGCAAGUAAUUUUCUUCCUUCAAAUAGGGAUUAAUGAUAUGAUGAUAUAUUCAGUAUUACAUAUCAAACAUACAAUUGUGCCUUGCCUGCUCAACAGGUAUAUCAAUAUGGUGCAUUAGGACAAUAUUUCCUUCAAUACAGAAAGACAUAUACAAGGAUAUAUAUUUUCUUAAUACAGUAUACGAAUCAUAUCACAAAAGAAAUUGUCAUGUUCAUUUUCUACUGGACUAUUAACACACAAUGUUGGAUGUUGACAACAGUUGUCUUUAUGUUACUGUGCUAUCACCUUCAUUUCAUAUUAAGAAAUAUUACAUUUCCAUGUAAAAACCUUUUAGUUAUUUUCUCAACUGUAACAUGAGUACAGUACACAUGUGCAACCAAUGUUUCCUUUACAUAUCAGUACAUUAUUUGUAUAAAUCUCUUUAUCAUUCAUAAAAAUGUUUCAAACGUGAA